GAUGAACGCUGGCGGCGUGCCUAAUACAUGCAAGUCGAGCGAACAGACGAGGAGCUUGCUCCUCUGACGUUAGCGGCGGACGGGUGAGUAACACGUGGAUAACCUACCUAUAAGACUGGGAUAACUUCGGGAAACCGGAGCUAAUACCGGAUAAUAUAUUGAACCGCAUGGUUCAAUAGUGAAAGACGGUUUUGCUGUCACUUAUAGAUGGAUCCGCGCCGCAUUAGCUAGUUGGUAAGGUAACGGGUUACCAAGGCAACGAUGCGUAGCCGACCUGAGAGGGUGAUCGGCCACACUGGAACUGAGACACGGUCCAGACUCCUACGGGAGGCAGCAGUAGGGAAUCUUCCGCAAUGGGCGAAAGCCUGACGGAGCAACGCCGCGUGAGUGAUGAAGGUCGUCGGAUCGUAAAACUCUGUUAUUAGGGAAGAACAAAUGUGUAAGUAACUAUGCACGUCUUGACGGUACCUAAUCAGAAAGCCACGGCUAACUACGUGC
This 498-nucleotide ribosomal RNA is filed under the name uncultured bacterium. RNAcentral describes it as "partial 16S ribosomal RNA". It matches the Rfam family "Bacterial small subunit ribosomal RNA", at positions 28 to 508 of the family's 1533-position model. The record is from RNAcentral.